GACGAACGCUGGCGGCGUGCUUAACACAUGCAAGUCGAACGGAAAGGCCCUGCUUUUGUGGGGUGCUCGAGUGGCGAACGGGUGAGUAACACGUGAGUAACCUGCCCUUGACUUUGGGAUAACUUCAGGAAACUGGGGCUAAUACCGGAUAGGAGCUCCUGCUGCAUGGUGGGGGUUGGAAAGUUUCGGCGGUUGGGGAUGGACUCGCGGCUUAUCAGCUUGUUGGUGGGGUAGUGGCUUACCAAGGCUUUGACGGGUAGCCGGCCUGAGAGGGUGACCGGGCACACUGGAAGUGAGAAACGGUACAGACUCAUACGGGAGGCAGCAGUAGGGAAUCUUCCGCAAUGGGCGAAAGCCGGACGGAGCAACGCCGCGUGAGUGAUGAAGGUCUUCGGAUCGUAAAACUCUGUUAUUAGGGAAGAACAAAUGUGUAAGUAACUAUGCACGUCUUGACGGUACCUAAUCAGAAAGCCACGGCUAACUACGUG
RNAcentral lists this ribosomal RNA (488 nucleotides) under uncultured bacterium. RNAcentral describes it as "partial 16S ribosomal RNA". It matches the Rfam family "Bacterial small subunit ribosomal RNA", at positions 28 to 507 of the family's 1533-position model. The record is from RNAcentral.